UACGUAGGGUGCGAGCGUUAAUCGGAAUUACUGGGCGUAAAGCGUGCGCAGGCGGUUUUGUAAGACAGAUGUGAAAUCCCCGGGCUUAACCUGGGAACUGCAUUUGUGACUGCAAGACUAGAGUGCGGCAGAGGGGGGUAGAAUUCUCGGUGUAGCGGUGGAAUGCGUAGAGAUGAGGAGGAACACCAGUGGCGAAGGCGGCCACCUGGACAGUAACUGACGCUGAGGCGCGAAAGCGUGGGGAGCAAACAGG
Molecule: ribosomal RNA, 253 nt
Filed under: uncultured bacterium
Lineage: Bacteria
Description: partial 16S ribosomal RNA
Rfam family: Bacterial small subunit ribosomal RNA
Source: RNAcentral